AGAAUCAACGCUGGCGGCGUGCCUAACACAUGCAAGUCGCACGAGAAAGUGGAGCAAUCCAUAAGUAAAGUGGCGCACGGGUGAGUAACACGUGAAUUAUCUACCUCCGAGUGGGGAAUAACUGAGAGAAAUCUUAGCUAAUACCGCAUAACACUUACGAGUCAAAGCAGCAAUGCGCUUGGAGAGGAGUUCGCGGCCGAUUAGUUAGUUGGCGGGGUAAUGGCCCACCAAGACGAUGAUCGGUA
This 245-nucleotide ribosomal RNA is filed under the name uncultured bacterium. RNAcentral describes it as "partial small subunit ribosomal RNA". It matches the Rfam family "Bacterial small subunit ribosomal RNA", at positions 26 to 285 of the family's 1533-position model. The record is from RNAcentral.